GAUCAGAUGGCCCUGUGCCUGAACUUGAGACAUCAUUACAGAAGCCUCCAGAAUCUUGCUUAUCCUGGCAUUCUUCAUUAAUCUGAGGUGUCUGUCUCCCUCUCCUCCUCAGCCAGACUUUGCAAACCUGCCCUGAAAGCAAACGAUGCCUUUCCUCGGCAGCUCACCUGCGGCCUCUGCAAUGCCCGUGGGCUGACUCCACUUGAUGGGCAUCGCCCAGGAAAGGAAAUGUCCCAACAUGAAAAAUGGUGGACUUGGAAUGUGACUUCACAGCUCAUGUACUCACUACAGUGUUUCCCCUGGACUGUAAGAGACCAAUGGCUUCAUCUCCUCAGUCUAUCCAGAUGUUUGUUCUCUUCCAUGGCAAUUGAGUGGCUGCACCCCCCAGGCCCCCUUGCUGUUAAUGCUCACAUUCUUUAUACAUUGGACUCUGAUUUUGAUCCUAGACCUUCUUUUGCAAUAGCAUUAGAAGACCACUGUGGAGAAUGGAGAUUUCUGUGGAAAUAUCAUCAAGACCCAAAAGUUUAGGCCCUGUUCUUCAGAAAUGUAUGCCUGGGUGAAUUGUGGCUUCCAAGG
Molecule: long non-coding RNA, 576 nt
Filed under: Canis lupus familiaris (dog)
Lineage: Eukaryota; Metazoa; Chordata; Mammalia; Carnivora; Canidae
Description: lncRNA (ENSCAFG00000053057.1)
Source: RNAcentral